AAAUAUUCAAACUUUCAAUUUGCCGGCCAAAACACUUAGUCAAAUUUUGCUUCUUUUCAUUUCUCUCACAAAAAACACUCUCCACAAACUAACUCUCUGCAAAUUAUCUCUAUGCCAAGUAGGGACGUUAAGACGGAGCUUUUUGUAGAUGGCGCAAGACGAUUGCAGAUGGGUAAAGGAAACCUAGAAAAUAAUAGACCGUCGAGGUACUAAAUGAGACUUUCUUCCACUUUCUUUCCUUUCGCUCUUUCUGGCUCCCGUGACCAGUUAAAGUAAGGAAGAAUUAGCCACGGGAACUAUGAAAAGGGUUCCAGACUCUCCUUUCUAAGAGUAUCCCACCUUUCCUAGCAUGGGGAGCGAUUACAACCAGGAGGAGAAAGCCACAGCCGAAUCCUUGAUUUGAAAAGUAUGCCUGAGUUGGACUGGACAAGGUCGAGACUGAUAAUGGGGAAGGCAGAGCUGAUGAGGCUGAUAUUGAAUGACAAGGAUGGUCACUUCCAAAAGCCUCCACAGAACCCUCUUGUGGACCUUUUAACCCUGGGAGUCUCAACCUUGGAAGGUGAGAAAUGGGCCAAGUGUAGAAGGUUAAUUACUCCUGCAUUCCACCAUGAGAAGCUGCAGGGAAUGGUGCCAGAGUUUUUAGCAAGUUGCUGCAACCUGAUUGAUCGAUGGAAGAUGUUGAUUGCAUCCGAUGGAUGGACUGAAAUUGAUAUCAAUCCUGAACUGCAGAGCCUUUCUACAGAUGUGAUUUCUAGAGCAGCCUUUGGAAGCAGCUAUAAAGAAGGGAAGAAGAUAUUUGAGCUUCAAAAAAAGCAAGCAGUGCUGGAUACAUGUUGUCAAGCCAGUGAAAGAGAGUAGCCUAGUUUAUUCAGAAUUUUUUUUUUAAAAACCAAAUGAUUCAAUCAUUCCUUUCUUGUUCGGUUGUUUUUAUUGUUUUGUAGUAAAUUCCUUUCAAGUUUCUGUUUCUGUUCCUAAUAACUGGCAAUAAUCUUCUGGUGACUAGUUGGAGCUUCUGUCCUUCUUGAUCGUUGAGCUGUGCCUCGUCGAGUAUGAAAUGCUUAGAUUCCCCCGUCUCUCUUAGCAAUGGUAGCAAUCUUUACUGCACAAUGCUCUGUCAAUGGGUUCAAGAAGUGGACUAAGACAUGCGAGAGGCACAAAAACUACACUAAAGAUCAGCUUUUGUGGAACCAGCUGAAGAUUGAUGGGGUAUUCAUGGUUAUGAUUGAAGGCUCUCAUUUCAUUGGAAAGUUUGGAAGCUAUUGCAAGUUCUUUCUACUUGUUAGGGAAGAGAAUAUUUUAGUUUGUGCACAUAAGGAUCUUUUAGUUUGUGCACAAGAAAAUCUUUCAAGUUUGUACUUGUUAGGGAUUUGUUAUGUUAGUACUUGUUAUUGACUUUUAGUUCCAUAAAUUAUAUUUGAGCAUUGACUUUUGUUUUUAGAUUACUA
Molecule: non-coding RNA, 1445 nt
Organism: Coffea arabica (coffee)
Lineage: Eukaryota; Viridiplantae; Streptophyta; Magnoliopsida; Gentianales; Rubiaceae
Source: RefSeq, a predicted model, not a curated record